AAUCAGUUGACGAAUCCCAAAUAGGAUGAAACACAUGUGUCUUGAAU
This 47-nucleotide non-coding RNA is filed under the name Schistosoma curassoni. The record is from RNAcentral. Lineage: Eukaryota; Metazoa; Platyhelminthes; Trematoda; Strigeidida; Schistosomatidae.